CUGGAAUGCCAUCUGGUAAAAGUUUCUACAUAAUGUACUAGUCAUCAUUCAGUAUGCCACUGUUCCUGUCUUGGUAAUUGAAUCAUCAUCUACUCAGUAAUUCAAGCCAGAGAUUGUCUUAAGCUGGCAUCUAAGAAGUCGGACUGCCUUUAUGGAGAUAUCAUGGAGAAAGACCACAUGAAGAAUCAAGACUUUGAAACUACAUUAAGAGAGAGAGAAGCCCAGCCAUCUCAGCUGACCCCAGCCUACAAGACAUCCACCACCUAAGUGACAGACAGCUUCAAUAUUCCAGCCUUGUUGAGCUGCCCAAUGACUGCAUUAAGGGCUGACAUCAUAUGGACCAGAAGAACCACCGAACUGAACAGUCAAUCAUACAAUCAUGAAAGAUAAUAAAAUGAUUAUUUUGUCAGUAA
This 413-nucleotide long non-coding RNA is filed under the name Equus asinus (donkey). RNAcentral describes it as "lncRNA (ENSEASG00005025610.1)". The record is from RNAcentral. Lineage: Eukaryota; Metazoa; Chordata; Mammalia; Perissodactyla; Equidae.